CCUACGGGAGGCAGCAGUGGGGAAUAUUGGACAAUGGGCGAAAGCCUGAUCCAGCCAUGCCGCGUGUGUGAAGAAGGCCUUCGGGUUGUAAAGCACUUUCAGUGGGGAAGAAAGCCUUGGGGCUAAUACCCUCGAGGAAGGACAUCACCCACAGAAGAAGCACCGGCUAACUCCGUGCCAGCAGCCGCGGUAAUACGGAGGGUGCGAGCGUUAAUCGGAAUUACUGGGCGUAAAGCGCGCGUAGGCGGUCUGAUAAGCCGGUUGUGAAAGCCCCGGGCUCAACCUGGGAACGGCACCCGGAACUGUCAGGCUAGAGUGCAGGAGAGGAAGGUAGAAUUCCCGGUGUAGCGGUGAAAUGCGUAGAGAUCGGGAGGAAUACCAGUGGCGAAGGCGGCCUUCUGGACUGACACUGACGCUGAGGUGCGAAAGCGUGGGUAGCAAACAGGAUUAGAUACCCUGGUAGUC
Molecule: ribosomal RNA, 465 nt
Filed under: Vreelandella stevensii
Lineage: Bacteria; Pseudomonadati; Pseudomonadota; Gammaproteobacteria; Oceanospirillales; Halomonadaceae
Description: partial 16S ribosomal RNA
Rfam family: Bacterial small subunit ribosomal RNA
Source: RNAcentral